GAGAAAACCUCUGCUCCCCCCUCCGAGGGGACCCCUCCCAUCCAGGAGGAGGGGGGAGCUGGAGUGGAUGAGGAAGAGGAGGAAGAGGAGGAAGAGGAAGGAGAAUCUGAGGCAGAACCUGUGGAGCCCCCCCCCUCAGGGACCCCACAGAAGGCAAAGUUCUCCAUUGGAAGUGACGAGGAUGACAGUCCAGGCCUCCCCGGGAGGGCUGCUGUCACCAAGCCCCUGCCCUCGGUGGGCCCACACACUGACAGGAGCCCCCAGCACUCCAGCAGCUCCCCCAGCCCCCGGGCCCGGGCCUCCCGACUCGCUGGGGAGAAAAGCCGGCCCUGGAGCCCAUCGGCCAGUUAUGACCUGCGGGAGCGACUGUGCCCAGGCAGUGCCGUGGGCAACCCAGGUGGUCCAGAGCAGCAGGUGCCCACAGAUGAGGCGGAGGCCCAGAUGCUGGGUUCUGCAGACCUGGAUGACAUGAAGAGUGA
This 479-nucleotide long non-coding RNA is filed under the name Pan troglodytes (chimpanzee). RNAcentral describes it as "long non-coding RNA NONPTRT010916". Lineage: Eukaryota; Metazoa; Chordata; Mammalia; Primates; Hominidae. The record is from RNAcentral.